RNAcentral lists this transfer RNA (66 nucleotides) under Rhodosoma turcicum. RNAcentral's name for it is "transfer RNA-Ser(UCN)". It matches the Rfam family "tRNA". Rfam says of the family: Transfer RNA (tRNA) molecules are approximately 80 nucleotides in length. Lineage: Eukaryota; Metazoa; Chordata; Ascidiacea; Phlebobranchia; Corellidae. The record is from RNAcentral.
AGAAAAAUAGUUUAUAAGUAAAAUGUGCGGUUUGAAACUGUGAGAUGUGUUUGGUCACUUUUUUUG